GACAGAGGAGGAAAGCGUAUUUCGGAAUCAUUGGUCUUAAAGCGCGCGUAGGCGGCCUUGUAAGUGUGUUGUGAAACCCCACGGCUCACCCGUGGAACUGCAGGGCAAACUGCAAGACUUGAGGUCGGUAGUGGCGCCUGGAACUCUAGGUGGACCGGUGAAAUGCGUAGAUAUCUAGGGGAACGCCGGAGGCGAAAGCGGGGCGCUGGGCCGAUUCUGACGCUGAUGCGCGAAAGCGUGGGGAGCAAACAGG
This 253-nucleotide ribosomal RNA is filed under the name uncultured bacterium. Its description in RNAcentral is "partial 16S ribosomal RNA". It matches the Rfam family "Bacterial small subunit ribosomal RNA", at positions 524 to 776 of the family's 1533-position model. The record is from RNAcentral.